This 70-nucleotide transfer RNA is filed under the name Podarcis lilfordi (Lilford's wall lizard). RNAcentral's name for it is "tRNA.Lys". The record is from RNAcentral. Lineage: Eukaryota; Metazoa; Chordata; Lepidosauria; Squamata; Lacertidae.
GAAAUAGUUUAGUCAGUAGAGCAUGAGACUCUUAAUCUCAGGGUCCUGAGUCCCAGCCCCACGUUGAGCA